Long non-coding RNA from Marmota monax (woodchuck), 331 nucleotides. RefSeq lists it as uncharacterized. The transcript is spliced from 4 exons. The record is from RefSeq and is a predicted model, not a curated record. NCBI's taxonomy places the organism in Eukaryota, Metazoa, Chordata, Mammalia, Rodentia, Sciuridae.
CAGAAGAGGUGGAUUUGAAUAUGCAGUGAUCGAUAAUACAAACAGGAAAGAAAGAAAAAAGCUCCAGUUCCUAUUCACAAGAUAAGGAAGUAGACAUCCCAACUGGUGUGGAUUGGAAUGUGCUUUUUGAACUUUGAAAUGUUUGCUCAUGCCAUCUGAUUUCUGAUGAGAAAUUUCUGACAAGAAAUUGAGUGACCAUUCUAUUGAGGAUCCCAUGCAUAUGGUGAUGUUAACAGUUGCUGUCCCAUGAACCACACUUCGAGUAAGAAGAUUUAUCAAAAACUUAUGCCUACUCAAUAAUGAGGGAUUGAUGGAAGAGAUUUUGGGGAGA